Clupea harengus (Atlantic herring) is the source of this 554-nucleotide long non-coding RNA. RefSeq lists it as uncharacterized. NCBI's taxonomy places the organism in Eukaryota, Metazoa, Chordata, Actinopteri, Clupeiformes, Clupeidae. The transcript has 5 exons. The record is from RefSeq and is a predicted model, not a curated record.
AUGCCUGGAUCAGUGAGCUGGGUCUGACCUUACUCUACCUUACUCGUAGCCUCUCUCUGAAUGUGUGCAUUGGUACCACGAACUCGUCUCCACUGCAACCUCUUGCUGCGGAGACGGCAAAGACAACAAACGCUCAUCAGAGGAUCCAGUGGCUCUCCUAUAAACCAGAGUAUCCAUAUAUGGUUUGUGUCCGGGAAAAUAGAAGACGUCCCUUCCCAGAACUAGCCAUGGAGAGUCAUGGCUCCAUGGAAAGACUUCAAGUUUAGCUACCACGCCCCUUACAGGAAAAAAUCUAGGCUAGCUCUUGAAACUGCCGAAUACUGAACGUGUGCUCACUUACCCACUCUCUGCUUCGUCACAAGAUGGCAAAACUGAGUUCUGUUCUCAGCAACAUCUUCGGCUUCUUCAAUCUGCUUUUUGCGAUUGUUGGUGUUGUUGUCAUUAUCUUGGCAAUACUAAUCCAUGUUAAUCUCAGUAAUGUGCAGGAGUUUGGAAAGAUCGGUGGAGUCGUCAUCCUGUAUGUGAUUGGAUUCAUCACAUUGACCAUCUCGUGA